Micropterus salmoides (largemouth bass) is the source of this 1728-nucleotide long non-coding RNA. RefSeq lists it as uncharacterized. Lineage: Eukaryota; Metazoa; Chordata; Actinopteri; Centrarchiformes; Centrarchidae. The transcript is spliced from 2 exons. The record is from RefSeq and is a predicted model, not a curated record.
ACCACUGUUCAGUUCAGUAUAACAUAUUGUGAAAUGGAGUCAGCGGUUGGAGUAACUUCCUGCAGGUCAAGAGAGCUGCUGCUGUACAGCACCACUUCAGCAUAUGGAUUCUUUGUUAACCUUUGUGUGGGCCCCAGGUCAAUCCUAGUAAUGACUUAUGCCAGCUUGUGCUAACUGAGGAGCAGAAUGGAGAUAUGUACAUUGGCCGGCUCCAAGCAGGAGAUUCAUGGAAUGCGCUUCUCCCGGGGGACGGGUUUCCAGGAACAGUUUUCCUCUAAUGGUGUGCAAUGAGCCAGCCUGCAAGCAGGAGCAGACAGCUGCGUGUGCACAAGCCUGCCCUGGUGUUCAGCAGCAAAGUUGGUAGCCACAAGCAGACCCAUAAUCUGCCACGCCUUCUUCCUGUCUACUUCCCUAAAGUCCAUUUUGUGCUGACAGCAGAGCACAGAGGGACCACUCCUACAGACGUAACCACGUAACCUUCAGGAAGACCCAUGGCUCAACACCACUGCUUAUUUACCCUUCACCACAUUCUGACCCUUCUUGAGCCCCAGGCAUUGAAUGGACAGAACUGAAAUAGUAUGCAUUGUAGAAUAAGUCUGGUUAUGUUGUGUACAGUAUCAACAGUGAGCAGGUAUGUAAUAUGUACUGUGGAAAAGAAAACAAUAUGCUGUGGUAUUUCUAUCUAGGUAAAGGUAAGGCAGUAUUAUCAGCAAAAUGUAUGUAAAGUAUCAAAAGUACAAAUGCUAAUUUUGCAGAAAUAUUGCCCCUGUGACUGAUAUGUUAUUAACUUUGACAUUAUUUGAUUGUUAAUACCGAUGCAUCCAUGUGUAAUUAGCAUUUCACUGUUGUAGCUGGUCAAGGUAGAACUAGUUUCAACUACUACACAGAUAGGUACUUUAGUCCUAUCAUAUGUUUUUUAUGUAAAAUAUUAAUUUGAAAAGUGGAGUGCAUUAUACCCUCUGAAAUGUAGUGGAGUAGAAGUACCACAGCUACAUGGUAGCAACAUCAGUUGCUUAUAAUUCAAAGUUAAACUGUUUUUGAUUGAUAUCCAUGAAUCGGAUCAACACCAAUGUGUCCUUUUGUUGAGUUUAAGACAUAUAAAUCUACUUUUUUCAUGCCUAAUAAGUGGUUACUAUGUAAGGACUCAAGGUGCAUCCAUGGACAUGCAGAGGGAACAUGUCCUAACAUGACCCACUCACAACAAACCACUAAAGACCAUUUCCUGCCCUUACGUUCAGGCACUGUGUUUUUGGUCUGUUGAGAGAGGUGAAAUGUCAGCACUCACACAUAUUCCCUGUGUUAUGUUAUCUCCCUCUACACAUGUAACGCAGUGUUAUUUUAUCUACUUGUCCAAUUGUGUGCAUGUUAUCAGCUGUGUGUGUUUGCUCUCCUCCACAGUAAUGAGGGACUGAACACACCUGAAGCACCAAGGUCUUAGCAGUGGUGGUGCCUGUAACCAGUUCACAGGAACAAAGAGGGACUUCCACAGCACAGAAGUACACUAAGUGAAAUAUGUCCUCUUUCUUGAAUGGCGCCUCCUUCCAGAGGAUCACAUGUGGAAGUCGUUUCUACCUAACCUGCUUUCCAGCUGUUGCCUCAUCCCAUCUUGCAUAAGUGAGGACAUUAGUCACACAAAACAUUUACAAAUGAUCAGGUAAAAGAAGUGAAGGUGAUUUGAGCUUGACGCAAAGCAGGAGUCUCAAAUAAAACGUGAAGUAAAAGAAAACC